This 468-nucleotide ribosomal RNA is filed under the name uncultured bacterium. RNAcentral describes it as "partial 16S ribosomal RNA". It matches the Rfam family "Bacterial small subunit ribosomal RNA", at positions 28 to 507 of the family's 1533-position model. The record is from RNAcentral.
GACGAACGCUGGCGGCGUGCUUAACACAUGCCAGUCGAACGGAAAGGCCCUGCUUUUGUGGGGUGCUCGAGUGGCGAACGGGUGAGUAACACGUGAGUAACCUGCCCUUGACUUUGGGAUAACUUCAGGAAACUGGGGCUAAUACCGGAUAGGAGCUCCUGCUGCAUGGUGGGGGUUGGAAAGUUUCGGCGGUUGGGGAUGGACUCUCGGCUUAUCAGCUUGUUGGUAGGGUAGUGGCUUACCAAGGCUUUGACGGGUAGCCGGCCUGAGAGGGUGACCGGCCACAUUGGGACUGAGAUACGGCCCAGACUCCUACGGGAGGCAGCAGUGGGGAAUAUUGCACAAUGGGCGGAAGCCUGAUGCAGCAACGCCGCGUGCGGGAUGACGGCCUUCGGGUUGUAAACCGCUUUCGCCUGUGACGAAGCGUGAGUGACGGUAAUGGGUAAAGAAGCACCGGCUAACUACGUG